RNAcentral lists this ribosomal RNA (253 nucleotides) under uncultured bacterium. Its description in RNAcentral is "partial 16S ribosomal RNA". It matches the Rfam family "Bacterial small subunit ribosomal RNA", at positions 524 to 776 of the family's 1533-position model. The record is from RNAcentral.
UACGAAGGGGGCUAGCGUUGCUCGGAAUCACUGGGCGUAAAGCGCACGUAGGCGGAUCGCUAAGUCAGGGGUGAAAUCCUGGAGCUCAACUCCAGAACUGCCUUUGAUACUGGCAAUCUCGAGUCCGGGAGAGGUGAGUGGAACUGCGAGUGUAGAGGUGAAAUUCGUAGAUAUUCGCAAGAACACCAGUGGCGAAGGCGGCUCACUGGCCCGUAACUGACGCUGAGGCGCGAAAGCGUGGGGAGCAAACAGG